This 468-nucleotide ribosomal RNA is filed under the name uncultured bacterium. RNAcentral describes it as "partial 16S ribosomal RNA". It matches the Rfam family "Bacterial small subunit ribosomal RNA", at positions 28 to 507 of the family's 1533-position model. The record is from RNAcentral.
GACGAACGCUGGCGGCGUGCUUAACACAUGCAAGUCGAACGGAAAGGCCCUGCUUUUGUGGGGUGCUCGAGUGGCGAACGGGUGGGUAACACGUGAGUAACCUGCCCUUGACUUUGGGAUAACUUCAGGAAACUGGGGCUAAUACCGGAUAGGAGCUCCUGCUGCAUGGUGGGGGUUGGAAAGUUUCGGCGGUUGGGGAUGGACUCGCGGCUUAUCAGCUUGUUGGUGGGGUAGUGGCUUACCAAGGCUUUGACGGGUAGCCGGCCUGAGAGGGUGACCGGCCACAUUGGGACUGAGAUACGGCGCAGACUCCUACGGGAGGCAGCAGUGGGGAAUAUUGCACAAUGGGCGGAAGCCUGAUGCAGCAACGCCGCGUGCGGGAUGACGGCCUUCGGGUUGUAAACCGCUUUCGCCUGUGACGAAGCGUGAGUGACGGUAAUGGGUAAAGAAGCACCGGCUAACUACGUG